GUAAACCCAAGGUUUCCAGGGGAAGGUUCGUCCGCCCUGGGUUAGUCGGGACCUAAGCUGAGGCCGAAAGGCGUAGGUGAUGGACAACAGGUUGAUAUUCCUGUACUACCGAUAACCGGUUGAGAGAAGGGAUGACACAGUAGGAUAAGCUAAGCACACUGUUGGUUAUGUGUGCCCAAGCAUUGAGGCAGUCAAAGUAGG
This 201-nucleotide ribosomal RNA is filed under the name Clostridioides difficile. RNAcentral's name for it is "partial 23S ribosomal RNA". It matches the Rfam family "Bacterial large subunit ribosomal RNA", at positions 1339 to 1536 of the family's 2925-position model. The record is from RNAcentral. Lineage: Bacteria; Bacillati; Bacillota; Clostridia; Peptostreptococcales; Peptostreptococcaceae.